Callithrix jacchus (white-tufted-ear marmoset) is the source of this 5467-nucleotide long non-coding RNA. RefSeq lists it as uncharacterized. The record is from RefSeq and is a predicted model, not a curated record. Lineage: Eukaryota; Metazoa; Chordata; Mammalia; Primates; Cebidae.
CUGUAGUCUCAGCUACUUGCGGGGCUGAGAUAGGAGGAUCACUUGAACCCAGGAGGUGGAGGUUGCAGUGAGCUGAGAUCCUGCCACUGCAUUCCAGCCUAGGCGGCAGAGUGAGAUAAUGAUCUCACACACACACAAAAAGCUGUCAACAUAGUUGGUCUCCUCCCUAGGGUUAUCUCCACCUAGAAUUGGGGUUAAGGAGGGUGACAAUUAAUUUUAUGAGUCAACUUGACUGGGACAUGGGAUGUCCAGAUGUCCAGUUAACUGUUACUUCUGGCUGUGUCUGUGAGGGUGUGUUCAGAAGAGGUGCACCUUUGAUUUGGUGGACUGAGGAAAGUUGGUGGCAUGCCCCAACGUGGGAGGGCAUCAUCCCUUCUGUUGACAGACUGAAUGGAACCAAAAGGCAAAGGAAGGUUGAAUUUGCUCUCUGCCUGUUUUGAGUUGAGACAUUGAUCUUCUUCUGCCCUCAGUCCUUCAGACUCAGACUGGAAUCUACACCAUUAGUUCUCUGGCUCUCCAACCUUCAAACUAUGGCACCAACUUUGCUGGGUCUCAAGCUUGCAGAGCAGAUCCUGAGGAGCCCAGGCUGAGAUCUCACUGGAGAGGGAACUUCAGGAGACAGGAAUAUGGAGGCAGCUUUCUACCCAAGACAGCUUGGCCCUUGGCCUUACCUCACGGCACACAGCUGCAAUCUGGCCUUCAUCCAUGCAGGUUUCUGUCACCACGUCUGUCAAGGAGCCUCCAGCCAAGUAUUCCAUAACAACCCAUAGCUCAUCUCCCACAAGGUAACUGCAGGAAUACAGAUAAAGGGUGAGAAGGAACAAUCAGAGUACACUGAGCCACAGCACUGCAUUUCAAAGGCUAAGUAUAUACACAGAGUAAAAUUAUGUCUUAGCACAAAGUAAAGUAAAAGGUUCUUUAAUUCAGGGUAAAGCAGAAUCUAGGGGACAGAAUGACUAACUUCGAAUCUCUCAAGGAUGCUCCUGGAGAAAACCAAGCAUACAUGUUCUGUGAAGCCCCAAACGGCAGAACUAAGGUCACUAACUUAAAAUGACAUAAUAAAAUUAUAUUUCAUCACAACACAAAGGAAGACAUCCUAAAAUUAGAAAGACUGCCACAAUUCCCACACCUCUAGAAGCAUCCAAACAUUGCACAAAGAUGGGAUUUAGAGUCCAUGUUACCCAAAGAAGAGAGAGCUACUAAACCUCCCAGAGAGUCCUACCAGAUCUGAGAUCUAUGAGACCAAGUAUUGAGUCUUGUUCAAAACUCUAUCCCAAGAGUCCAGCAUAGCAGAUGCCAAUAUUUACUGAAUAAAUCAAUGAAUAAAAGGUAACUGUAAAUAUGAAAUGAAAUAAUGUUUAUAAGUGUCCCUUAAAAGCUGCAGAGUGUUGUAUACAUAGUCAUUAUGCUGAUAAUUGACCUCUAUUUGAAUGUCUGUGAUUCAAGAAUGGAAGGAAUUUAGCAAGGGCUUACAGAGCCAACGCCUUCUGAUAAGCCGAGACUAUCAUUUAGUAAGGUAUUCCUGGAGAGAUUAUGGACUGACAUGAGUUAGAACUGAUAGUUUCGCUCAGGAGUUGGAUCACUCAGCCCUAUUACAUGAUAAAUAAAAAGGUCACUUAGCCUAUCUGGUCAAUGUUUCCUUACUAUAGAAUCAGACGAAUAAAAACAAGGCAAGCCUAGAACCCUAAAGUCUUCUGCCAGUCUUGGACAUAGAAGCUGGACAUUUCUUGCAUUGGCUUGAACUGUGUGGCAUCAUCUUACCUUCAUCCUGAUAUUGGGAAUACUGCUGGACAGAUGUGGAGACUGUAGGAAGAUUUUAACAAGUACACUCAAGCAAAGGAAACAGCAAGAAGUAUAAACAAGGAAUGAUUCAAACUUUUAUGUGACAAAUCCCUGACUCUAUUAUUUCUUCAAGUCAAGAAUGGACAGUCUUCUGCAGAGACCAAAUUAAUCAUUAAGAAUAGAAGUAAUUCUGUUAAAAAAUCUGAUCACCUCCAUUCCCUGCCUCAAGUAAGGAAAAAUUGCUUUGGAGUGGGGUUUCUUGUUAGGUCAGGCUUCUGGUCUGGCUGUAGCUCUCUAUAACAGCUGAGCAUUAGUUUUUCCCAAUAUUUGAAAAGCAACAUGCUGAUCUAACGAUAUUAAAUAUAGUUAGCCCUUAUCACACACAUUAAGGACUGGAGCCAGAAGAAUGUCUUUGGAGUUACUCAUGCCAUCUUGGAGGAUGGGACACUGCUUAUGAACCUCACAGUGGUCACUGCUGGCAGCAGCAAGGGAGGAGAGGCAGAAAGAGACUACUAACAUGGAGGCUGUUUCUCUCUCUCUCUCUUUUUUUUUUAGAGAUGAAGUCUUGCUCUGUUGCCCAGGCUGGAGUGCAAAGGUGCAAUCUUGGUUUACUGUAACCUCUGCCUCCCAUGUUCAAGUGAUUCUCCUGCCUCAGCCUCCUGAGUAGCUGGGAUUACAGGCAUCCACAACCAUGCCUGGCUAAUUUUGGUAUUUUUAGUAGAAACAGGGUUCCACCAUGUUGGUCAGGCUGUUCUCAAACUCCUGACCUGGUGAUCUGCCUGCCUUGGUCUCCCAAAGUGUUGGGAUUACAGGCGGGAGCCACCACGCCCAGCCAGGCCUAGCUAUGGGCUAGGCUAAGUGUCCUUCAGCUAAUCAGACCUCACCUGAUAGGAGAUAGCAUUCCUAUAAGAGAAAAAGGACUGGUCUUGAACUCUGAGGACUUAAGCUGAGGACCUGACUGUCACUUACUGACCUUGACCAAUCACAAGCUUUCGGAGCCUCAGUCUCUUUAUCAAUGCACUGAAGUUAAUUGCAACUUUGAUUCUCCUCUUCUCAGGAUUGCUUAGAAUACCAAGUGAGACAAUGGCCAAUGCAUUACAUAUAAGUAAUAAGUAAAUAAUUUAACCAAUAAAGUUAGACAACAAUGAAAAUGGUAAUCAUAGCAAUAAAGUAUUUAAUAAGUACUUGGCACAGCAACCACUCUCCCACCACUACUGUGUGCCAGGCUCGGUGCUAGAGGCCCUACUUAUAUUAUCAUAGUAAAACCUUACAACUCUGCAAAGUAAAAAUUAUGACUUGUAUUUUCAGGUAAGAAAACUGAGGCUAAGAUUUGCAAGAAAAUUCUAAGGUCAUAACUAAUGCCCAUAGGUCCAUGUAACUCCAAAGACUCUUUCAGUGUGUUAUACACAUUCUCUCUAAAAACAUGCUUGAAAAAUAAUUGUUGGAUCUGUAACUGGAAGACUUCCCAGCACUAACAUUCUUCCUAUAUGUGACACAAUAGCUCUGCCCUUCUAAGCUAGAUAACCCCCAGUAAGCACGCACUGGCAGAGACUGAGAGCAUCCUGCCAACUCCACUAAAGAUUUAUACUCCUUGGUGCAGGAAAUGAAGUGUUCCUGACCACACUGCAUUAGCCACCCCAAUGGACUCCCUUCCAUUCAUAGUUUUGUAACCACAAGGCAGGCACACAAUGAAUUUAAAUUUCUCUUUCUUCUGGCCAGCUUCUCACACAGUCAGCCUCCAGGCCUUCCAGGAACCACCGCCAUCACCUAUCUGCCUCCCAUCAAGGGCUGUAAGGCCUGAGAGGCCAGAAACAUGACAAGAGACUCUAGUAUCUAACCUCAGCUCUGUUGUGCUCUUACAGCCCAAAACACAUAGGAUUAAAAGUCAAAGAUUCUAAUCUAGUGCCUGCUAAUCGCUGACAGUACAACUUUGCAAAAAAGUUAUUUAUACAUCCUGAGCCUCAAAUUCCUGAGCAGUAAAAAAAAAAAUAAUAUUACCUACCUCACAGAGUUCUUUUCAGGAUUGGUAUAGCCUUCUCUUUUUUAUCUCUGCAUCAUAUUCACCAUCAUUAAAAUGCCAUGAUAAUACUAUCCUUCCUUCCUCACCAUUAUUUUUACUUUAAGGCAGAUUCCUGUCAAUAUUACAAGACUUUUAUAUGCACACAAAGGAAAUUAUGGUCUCUUACAUUUACAUAUGAUUUUAAUGUCUGAGAACUUUCACAGAGUUCUUAGCAUAAGGUGUGGCAUAAAGCAAAUGCUUUGUGGAAUACAUACAUAUGUAUAUGAGUAAAAAUGAAUAAAUAUGAGUAUGUAGUUCAUAAAGUUUAUAAUGCAUUUUCACAUGUAUUGCUUUACUGAAUUAUUUUUUUUUUUUUUGAGACGAAGUUUCACUCUUGUUACCCAGGCUGGAGUGCAAUGGCGCGAUCUCAGCUCACCGCAACCUCUGCCUCCUGGGUUCAGGCAAUUCUCCUGCCUCAGCCUCCUGAGUAGCUGGGAUUACAGGCAUGUGCCACCAUGCCCAGCUAAUUUUUUUUAAUUUUUUUUUUUUUUAGUAGAGACGGGGUUUCACCAUGUUGACCAGGAUGGUCUCGAUCUGUUGACCUCGUGAUCCACCCGCCUCGGCCUCCCAAAGUGCUGGGAUUACAGGCUUGAGCGCUUUACUGAAUUCUUUCAACAAUUUUGUGAACAUUUUAUCAUGUACAUUUUAUAAAUAUAUAAAGUUCAGGCUCAAAGAGGUCAAAUAACUGCUCAAGGUUAUAUAAGCAGCUAAAGGCUUAUAAGCAUGUAGGUCUUUGGAUUCUGACGUCAAAGAACAAUGAAUAAAUCCUUAACUGUAAUAAUGAUUUUUAAAAGUUGGCUUACCCUGAGUAGAGCCUUAAUAUUUGGCUUUAACACUUUAAAAACUCAUGAGAGCCUAGUGAGAUAUGUAUUGCCCCUAUUAACUGUGACUUCUCCAGGGUGCCACAUGGUUUCAACCACCAAAAAUAUAGACACACGUUUCAAGCAGCCUCCCUCAGAGAAGCCCAACUCUAUUUUCAUUGGAAGAGGGGUGCCUCUCUCAACUGCUGUGUUCCAGUACUCUUUGAAGUAAGUACUUCUUCUGGACAGCUGCCAUCCACAGCUCACUGGCUGACACUCCUCUGCAACCAAAUACUAGAAUACAAGGAAACCUCGAGUACUCUAUAUUCCCUUCAUAGCUUCCUUUUACUGAAGAUAAGACCUUGGGUCAGCAGGAUUUAGCAAUAAUGUCAGAGUUCUCCUGGCUUAAUGAAAUGAGAGGGACAAAAAGCUGCUUCCAUAUAAAUGAGGAUUUCACUGUUCAGUGGAAAGUAAAGUUAGAACCAGUAUAUUAGAAAUCAAGAGACAUGGUUUAAAUCUCCGCUACAUCAGAUUUCUCUAACAAGCCCCAAACGUGUAUAAAGCAAAUAUCCACCUGACAAUCAGGCAGUAUCCAAUUUCUUUUUUCUUUCUCCUUGAAUAUUACUAAUUUGUAAGUAAUGUUCACAUCCAGUCAAUCAUCUAAUUCUGUCAAACCUACCUGCUAAGUAUCUCUCAAAUCCAUCCACUUCCUUCCAUCUAAUUAUGUCACCUUAGUCCAAACCUUAAGUUUCAUCAUGUUAGCCUGCUAUUUGGCUCUAGUAUACUAUAGUAAGAAACUAGAAAUGUUCCACCUGGGCACGGUGGC